RNAcentral lists this ribosomal RNA (253 nucleotides) under uncultured bacterium. RNAcentral describes it as "partial 16S ribosomal RNA". It matches the Rfam family "Bacterial small subunit ribosomal RNA", at positions 524 to 776 of the family's 1533-position model. The record is from RNAcentral.
UACGUAGGGUGCGAGCGUUAAUCGGAAUUACUGGGCGUAAAGCGUGCGCAGGCGGUUCGUUGUGUCCGAUGUGAAAGCCCCGAGCUCAACUUGGGAAUGGCAUUGGAAACUGGCGGGCUGGAGUGUGGCAGAGGGGGGUGGAAUUCCACGUGUAGCAGUGAAAUGCGUAGAUAUGUGGAGGAAUACCGAUGGCGAAGGCAGCCCCCUGGGAUAACACUGACGCUCAUGCACGAAAGCGUGGGGAGCAAACAGG